Molecule: long non-coding RNA, 1232 nt
Organism: Ostrea edulis (European flat oyster)
Lineage: Eukaryota; Metazoa; Mollusca; Bivalvia; Ostreida; Ostreidae
Exons: 4
Source: RefSeq, a predicted model, not a curated record
CGCGGGGUUUUCUGAAAGUGUGCACGGAGAAUGACACGUGUUUCCGUUUCAACGAAAACAACACAGCUUCACCGUGACUGUCACAACCAACGCUUGUAUUUUACAUCUUUAAAACGACCUGAUGUCAGAAGAAGAUGCCCUGGAUCGCCUGUUGCAGGAUGACCCAAACGAUCAUGCAUUCAGUAUAAAUACGUACAUGGUAUUGACAUCCCAAUAUUUAGUGGGAAGUUCCCAGGUAUCAUCCGCUAGCGACAGUCUACUGACAAAUCCAGACAUGCAUUGGAAGGAUGCUGAUAUGGAGGACACAGGAACACCUGAUCCCAGAACUGUGGCAUUUCAUUCGGGGUGACAACCUGGCUUUCAGUUGAUAUGGGACCCUAUUAUUCGGAGAACUGCAGAUUUUAUGAAGCUGUCUUUGACAGAAGAUUUGGUUUUCUCCAUCUGUGUUGCCACCAACCAUUAUGCUGAGAUGGUCACAUCUAGGGGGAAGGGUUGCCAUAUACUUCCCAAGGAAGUUUGCAGCCUCUCACUGAAGAGGAACUGUACAGAUUUUUGUGCAUUAUCUUAUACACGCCUGCUGUGAAGUUCCAGUCGAUAGACAGAUAUUGGUCAACGCAUGUCCCUAUCGGAACAACUCGUUAUAAAGAAUUAUGUCUAGAAAUAGGUUUCAAGAGGUUGAAUAUAAGAACAUUUUUGUUAAAUAUGAUGCAAGUACAUUUAAAUCUAGUGAUUGAAAGUAAGUACUUGAACAUUCGCUUAUGUUGAACUUGGAGAGGAAAAAUGGUUAGUACUUUUUGAUAACAUUUGAUAAGGUGUUGUUGCUUAGCAACCAAAUAUAACUGAAUAAAAAAUAGAUUAUUUUAGAUUAACAAUAAUUGAAAGAUUUUUGUUUUAAUGUUGCAAUACUUAUUCUAUUUAAUGGAACAUAAUGGCAAAACGUCAUAUUAUUAGAAAAUGAUGAACAAGUAUAUAAAGUACGAAGUUUCCAUUUGAUGACCUUUGACCUUAAUUCUCUUCAUACAUUUUUUGUUAAAAACCUUUUAAAAUGAUUAAGAUCUAUUUAAAGAUUAUAUUUUAAGAUAAUGUGACAUUUACUAAUCAUCAUGGAUUGUAAUUACGUUUAAAUUGUGUCGAAUGGAUGCAGAAAGGCAAAUUAUGGUCAAAAUUGUACUAUGAGUGUUGUUACUUAGCAACCAAAAAUAUUUGUUUGUCAAUAAAAUUGAUUAGUUUGA